GUUUUUAUAGUUUAACUAAAACAUUGGUCUUGUAAACCAAAAUUAAGAUAUUUCUUUUAAAACU
Molecule: transfer RNA, 64 nt
Filed under: Parachronistis sp.
Lineage: Eukaryota; Metazoa; Arthropoda; Insecta; Lepidoptera; Gelechiidae
Description: tRNA-Thr
Rfam family: tRNA
About the family: Transfer RNA (tRNA) molecules are approximately 80 nucleotides in length.
Source: RNAcentral